This 8356-nucleotide long non-coding RNA is filed under the name Lathyrus oleraceus (garden pea). RNAcentral's name for it is "Pisum sativum (pea) long non-coding RNA (PSAT_LNC037735)". Lineage: Eukaryota; Viridiplantae; Streptophyta; Magnoliopsida; Fabales; Fabaceae. The record is from RNAcentral.
ACUUUUAGUAUUUUGUAUAUUAUAACUUUGGUAUGUCAGGAAUUCAGGACUCAAGGUUAUUAUUUAUGAAGAGUAACAAUUUAAUUAUAUAUAGAUCUUACAAUUGAUAAGUUUUUCUUUAGCAUGACAACAAAGAAGCAGCAGAGACAAACUAGUGCUAGAUAGAUACAACAAGUCCCACUAAUUGUAAAGGAUAUGCUUUGAGCCAAAAUUGCAUUGCCAUAUAGUAUGCAAACAAGGGAAACAACGAAUCCUGAAACUCUCGCAUUAUGAUGUUUCCUGUCUUCAAUAUACAAUGGUUUUUCUUCUUUCUUAAAAUGAAGAAAAAAUAACAUAUCUUCUUAUUUUAGCAUAAAAAAUAUAAUAUUUUUCUUGCUUGUAUUGCGAUCCCAUUCCUAUAUUUCUCUGCACAACUAUGACAAGAGACCAGAAAGUAGUAUGCUUAUGCAUUGCGUUUUUUUAGAGUGACACUAGUAACUGCUAACUUGAUAGGUUGAGUGCUUGUCUGAAUUUGGUUUGUUUUGUUUUUCUUAUCUGAACAAGCAUUUGGUUUUGGCUUUGUACAACACUAUUUCCUGACUGUCGACCGAUACAUGAAAUUCUGUGGCUGAUACAGAAAUAUCAUAAUUUUUCAGUAUGCGAAAUUUGUUAAGCCUGCCUUCGAUGAUUUUAUUCUUCCAUCCAAAAAGUAUGCUGACAUAAUCAUACCUCGUGGGGGAGAUAAUUGUGUAGCAAUUGACUUGAUCGUUCAACAUAUCCGCACUAAGCUUGGCCAACAUAACCUCUGUAAGAUAUAUCCAAAUUUGCACGAGAUACCGUCUACUUUCCAGGUGAUUUUCGUAUUACGGCAUUUCCUCCUCCAAAACUGUCUGUUUUAUUUUUUUUGCUCCAAGGAGAAUUUAUCAUGCUAACUUCUAAAGUUUGAGCUUUCUUACAGACUAGAGGCAUGCACACUCUUAUUCGGGAUACGGAAAUAUCCAAGCAUGACUUUAUUUUUUAUUCAGAUCGGCUAAUUCGUUUGGUAGGUCAUGCUUUAUACAAUGUGACAGAAUCUAUAGCCUCCACUAACAAACUAAUAUUAACAGGUAGUGGAACAUGGUCUUGGUUACUUGCCAUUUACAGAAAAACAAGUUAUCACACCUACAGGUCUGUCUAAGGAAGAGGAAACAUCAUUCAAUCGUUUAAAUUUAUCACCGUGAGAGAAAGACGGCUAAAAUCUAUUUUUUUGCCACAUUUCAGGAUCAAUUUAUAUUGGAGUUGAUUUUUGUAAGAAAUUGUGUGGAGUAUCUGUUAUUCGAAGGUAUUUUUUCUAUUCCAAAAGGUUAAUUAGCACUGUCAUUCUUCAUAGACUUUUAUCUCCUUAAUCAAUUCUCAUUUAUUUUUAUGAUAUUGGAUCUACCAAAUGUUCUAAUCUCAUCGUUAAAUUGGGAAGAAACUUGUUAGAAUUAUCAAGUAACCAUUAUCCAUUUUAGAGGUUUUAACUCCAAUUCCAACUUAGUUAACAUCUGAUAACCAUUUUAUUCUGUUUGAAACCAGUUUUGCAUAUGAUACAUGUAUAUAUUUGUCUCCUAAUUUUUUUACAAGCAUUCUGUUGCGUGGACCGUGGAUUGUGCAUUCAAGUGAUUUCUCAGAAUUUGGAUGCCAUAUUGUUUAUGUAUAUUUCUUCAGUUGUUUUAUUCAUUAAAAAAAGCAAUUCUAUAACACCAUAAUUUACAGUGGUGAAAGCAUGGAAAAUGCUUUGCGUGCAUGUUGUAAAGGAAUAAAAAUAGGAAAAAUUCUCAUCCACCGUGGAGGUGAUGAAACCCAGGUAACCAGUUUCCAUUUUUUACUCUGUUUGUUCUUUCUUGAAUUUGUUAGUUUCUGUGUAAGAUGAAAUGAUACAAUACAAGUCUUGAAAUGUAACUUAACACAACCACAAUGUUUUCUUUCUAUAAGCUUAUUUAUGAGAAGCUCCCUAAAGACAUUUCAGAGAGACAUGUUCUUCUCAUGGACCCAGUACUUGGCACAGGUCAGUUAUCAGAAGUCACAACUUUUUAUUCACCAUAAGAUGUUUUUUUAGCAUUGUCUCACUAUAUACACAACAAAUUAACUUUGAGUAACAAUAAUACAUUAUAAUUAUAGCUAUAUAAGAUUGGAAAAUAUUAACGUCAUGCACCUUAUUAUAUUGAAUUGUUCAGGUAACUCUGCCAGUCAAGCAAUAGAGCUUCUUAUUAAAAAAGGAGUUCCAGAGUCCCGGAUAAUAUUCCUUAACCUUGUCUCUGUAAGUUAUUCAAUUAAAUAGUAAAAGCCUAAUAAUGUUCAAUGAAUAUCAAUAUAAUAAAUUUCAAAACUGAUUUUCAGGCGCCCGAGGGAAUACAUUAUGUAUGUAAACGCUUUCCGCACAUAAAAGUUGUUACUUCGGAGAUUGAAGAAGGACUAAAUGACCAGUUCUGCGUCGUGCCUGGGUUAGGAGAAUUUGGUGACCGGUAUUUUGGUACAGACGACUCCUAGAGGCAAAAACCUUAAACUAUGGAAAACAAUGGAGGAAUGAAAAAGCUCAAAAAAGAUGUUGGGAUUUAUUACUGUGUAUAAUAUUCAUCUAUGCUUAUCAUGAACAACUAUACCUUAUACAUUGAUUAUUCAACUAAUAUAAAAAAUAAAUUAUGUUAUAAAUAUGACUAGAGGGAGGAACUGGCUUAAUUGGAGCCCAUACAUAAGAUUUCUCAUAUCUACACUCCACGUACAUUCCCUCCAUGCUCCACAUUGGUAUGCCUCAAACUAUUACCCCAUUACCCCAUGAGUAUGAACCUCAAAUUACUUCCUCUAAUAGUUGGCUACCCAAGAACUCCCACCUCAUUUUGCUAAUAAUUGGUCGUGUAACAUCCUAAUACUUGUAUGGCAGUGAAAUGAUACACAUUACCUGUGUAAUAAUGACAUAUAAAUAAAUGACAUAUAAGGGCAAGUGCUUGUUGGCGGAGAAAAGAGUGAUGUGGAAUCUCUUGGUCCAAGUGCGUGAGAGGUUCUCAAGUUCUGUUUUGUGUGUUUUGGGUGACUUCAAUUUAGUUCUUUGUCGUGCUGAGAGGAAAGGAGUGGAGUGGGAGUGGGAUCUCAAGGCUAAACCCUAAUGGAAUCCCUUGAGUUUGGGGGCUUUUAUUGAGGCGAUGGGUUGGUGUAUAUGGCUUUGUUGAGUAAGAGGUUUACUUGGUUCCAUUCUAAUGGGGUGUUUAUGAGUAGGUUGGAUUAAGUUCUUUCGUCACUAGGGUGGGAUGAGGAAUGAGGCCAAGAACUUUGUGGGUCUUACCUCAGGAGAUUUUUUAUCAUUGUCCGAUAGUGGUUAAGUAUCCUUCGCAGUUUUGAGGACUGAAGCCUUUCCGAUUCAACAAUUUCUGGUUGAAGAAUUCCAAUUUUGAGACGGUGGGUCUUGAGUCCUGGAAAUGAAGGCUCGAAACGGGUAGAUGGCGUGCAUGCUUAGGGAUAAAUUUAAAGCGCUCAAAGGGGUUCUUAACGUCUAGAAUAUACAAGAGUUUGGUAGUUUGGAUUUAAAAAUUAAGGUUUGUUCGGAUAAGCUUGAGAGUUUGGAGCUUAGGUCGGAGUCUGAGCCUCUUUCUCAAGAGGAGUUGGAUUAUAGAUCGAAUGUUAGUCAAGAGUUGUGGAAACUUAUUUGGUGUGCUGAUUCUAAAAAUUUUCAGAGGUCUAAACUAGCUUGGCCGAAGGAAGAGGAUGUUAAUACUAGGUACUCUCAUGCAUGUGAUAAGUAGAGGUAUAUGAGGACUACUUUGGUUGAUCUCUGUGUGGGUGAUAUUUGGUUGGAAAACGUUUUAGAGGUUAGAGAGGAGAUCUCUAGAUAUUUUAAAGACCAUUUUUCUAAUUUUGGCUGCUAGGUUAGCUAGUGCCAUGGAGAAACUUAUCUCCCUAGAGCAAUAAACUUUUAUUAGGGGGGGGGGGGUUGUUAGUGGAUGAAGUGGUUGUUCUUGAUUAGAUUUUAGAUCUUGCAAAGGUGUCUAAGUGAGAGUGUUGUGUUUAAAGUGGAUUUUGAGAAGGCUUACGACUCAGUUAGUUGGACUUUCGGGGAUUAUAUGUUAAGGAGGCUUGAUUUUGGCGAUAGGUGGAGGGGUUGAAAUCGAGUGUUUUUUUUGGGUAGUCUUGCAGUCUUGAUUAAUGGGUACCAUGAAAUCACUAUUCAAAAGGGUCUUAAGUAAAGAGACCCUCUACCUCCCUUUAUUUUUCUUUUAGUGGUGGGAGGUUUAAGUGCUUCUUUGAAAAAAGGAGUCUCAGCGUGUAUUUUUUAGGGUAUUAAGGUGGGCACGAAUGGGUUAGAGGUGUCUCAUCUCUAAUAUGCUGAUGAUAUAGUAUUGGUAGGGGUUUUGUCGAUGUAUAACCUUUUGACCAUUAAGGUGAUUCUCAUAAGUUUUGAGCUUGCCUUUGGGUUUAAAGUGAAUUUUGCUAAGAGUUGUUUUUUGUGUUAAUGUGGGGAGGCCUUUUCUGAAGCGGGCUGAGAAUUUUCUACACUAUAAGGUGGGUUAUUUUCCUUUUAAAUAUUUAGGGAUCCUAAUGGGUGCAAACCAGAAGAAGGACGAGACUUGGGAUCCUCUAAUAUAGCUUGUCUCUAAGAGAUUAACUUACUAGAGAAAUAUAUAUUUUUAUCUUUAGGUGGUAUGUUGGACCUGCCGAACACGGUUUUGAAUUUAAUCCCAGUAUUCUUUUUAUCACUCAUGAAGAUGUCGACUUUGCUCAUGAAGAAACUGAUGGGUAUGAAAAGGAGGUUUCUCUUGUGGUUCCAAAUGAGGAUCAAAGAUUGUGUGGGUUAAGUGGGAGGAAGUUUGUAAAGCUAAAAGGAUAUGUGGUUAAGUGGGAGGAAAACUUAGGAUGGUGUCUCAUUGAUGGAUAGGUGUUUCCCUUCUCGAGUCUUCUCCUAAUCAGAAGCUGAAUUGGGUUUCCUCGUCUUACGUUAAUAUGGUUGGGGAUGGUCAGAAGACUAGGUUUUGGCAUGAAGUUUGGGUGGUGACUUCUCCUCUGUGUGUCUCUUUUGAGAGGUUGUUCCUUAUCUUGGAACAAAAAACUCAAGUUGUGGGUUCUAUGGGUUCAUGGGUGGAGGAUGCUUGGGUUUGAAAUUUUAAGUGGAGGUGGCCUUUUCGAGUUUGGGAGGAUGAGAUUUUAGAGGAUUUUCUUGUCCUUAUUACGGGAAUGAUUAGAGGUGGACAGGUGGAUUCUUGGGUAUGGAAACUCGAUAUAAAUACAGGAUUUUUAGUUAUAUGAACUUAUGAUAACCUUUUGGUUUUGGUUGGGUAACAAGGCUAGGUCUGAGAGGGUGUUGCGGGGGGGAUUUCUAGGAUUUGGACAAGUUGGAUGCCUUCUAAAGUUGUAGUGUUUUUGUGGGAGUUACUUCAAAAUAGGUUGCCUACUAGGAAACAUCUCCCGAGGCGUUGUAUUGUGUUUGGGUUCAAUAGUGCGAGAUGUGUGUUUUGCAUAGGGUACGUGGAGUCGGUUGAUCGUCUCUUUGUAGGUUGCUUCAAUUUUUAGUAUAGAGUUUGUAAGUGAGUGGGGCGGUCAAGGUCACUUCAUCAUUCGAUUUUAGGGGUGUUUAAGUUGUUUCAAGGUCUAGGUCAUAGGAAGAAGAGGUAUCUAGCUCUGGUAUUGAUCUCGCAUUCUGCGGUCUGAACUAUGUGGAAAAUGCGUAACAAAGUUAUUUUUUUCUGAAAUCUUGACGAUUGAUCAUUGGAUUGAAGGUGUGAAAAACACAAGAAAUUGGGGGUUUGAACUGGGUUUUACAAGCAAAAUCUUUUUCCAAAAUAAGAACACCACUAACAAGUUGAUAACAAAGAGAUAAAAACACAAGUAUUUUUAUUUUGGUUCACUUGAAACUCAAAGCUAAUCCAGUUCACCCGCCAAUGUGCUUUUGCCUUAUACAUAAAGACUUAAUCCACUAUAAUCAACAGAUUACAACAAACACAAAGAAUAACCUUAUUUUUCUUCUCAAGGAUCCAACUAAACCUUAGCCUCCUUAAGGACUCACAAAGAACAACCUUCUUUAUCUUCUUAAGGAUAACCUCCUUAAGGAAUCAAACAAAGAGUUUGAAUAAUAUUUUGUGUGUUACAAGAUGCUUUUACACAAGCAUAUUUUACACAAAUGAAUAGCAAACACUUCAAGAAAACUUGUAUACAAAAGAAUGAUAGUUUUUCACAAAGAAAAUAACUUGUCAAAAUAUUGCGUAACUGAUGUUUUUCUUCAAGUCUCCAAGUCAUACUUAUAUAGCAUAAGCAUAAGACCGUUGGAGGGAAAAAUGGGGAAAUCUCAUUUGAGCGUCUGUCCACUGUUGGAUGGGAAAGGAAUGAUAUUGCAUACUAUCUUUUCGCCCAUAUAAUCAAUGACAGGUGUGAUGUAUACUAUUGUCCUUGCCCAUGAAAUCAGGUAGUGGAAAGGUUGUUCGUUAUGUAUCAUGCACUAUUUGAUCACGUUCCCAUUUUAGUCUUAUCUUCAAAUUCAUUGGCUUCUGAUGAAAGUUGAUGAAGCAUGAAUUGAAGAAAUAAAGCGCUGGAUUCAGAAACUUUAGAACCUUUUGUCAGAAUCUUGACAACGUCAGUAGUCUGGAUUGAGAUCUUCAUUUUCUUUAUAAUCUUCAGAGUCUACAGAAUCCUCAGUCAGAACCUUGAUAACUUCAAUUGUCUGGCUUGAGAUCUUCAGAAUCUUCAGCUUCAUAACACAACUUCAGAAGCUUGUCAUUCUUCAAAAGUUUGGUGAUCAGAGUCACGUCCAGAAGCAAGAACUGAGAGAACAUUACAACAGUAACAUAGUGUCUCCUUAGAAGCUUCUGAUGAGUAAAACAGCUCAGAAGCAUAAAGAAUGUUGCAACAACAAUAUUGAUGUCUUUCAGAACUUCUAAUAAUUGGCGCAGAAGCAGAUUCAUAACACAUAGUUCAGAAAUUGAUGAUGUUGCACAUCAUAUAUUUAGAAUCUGAACUGGUUGUUAAAGCUACACAAUAACAAACCAUUAGGGUACCAAAAUUGUUCUCACACAAAUAUAAUAUUGUUAUCAUCAAAACUCAAGGUAUAGAUGCAUAACCAAUCUUUUCUACAUGGAUGACUGCGAUUAUUAGCAUGCUGUGAACGGGGUUCAUGCCUAUGCUUCGGUUAUUUUGUUCUCUAGCUGAUUUGGAGUAAACCCUCUUAAGUGGCUUGACAUUUGGGGUGUGUUGGGCAAUUGUCCUUCUUUUUGUGUGUGCCGGUGAUGGUCAUAUCUACCUUCCUUCACCUCGUUCUCUCUAGAGGUAUGGUACUUUAAAGUUUUCAAGAUAUAUUUGAUGGGUGGGUGGUUGGGAUUUUUCUUGUUGAGUUGUUGUUGUUGUUUUUUUUUUCUUUUUUUUUUUCUGGUUUGUAGCUCUUGAGCAUUGUUGUUGCUUUUUUCCUUUUUGUUUUUUCCCUAUAACUCCGAUUUCUUACCUAUUUUAUUAUAUAAUUCUUGCUUUGAUAUUCAAAAAUAAAAAGACAUGUUUAAAUGAGUUGUAUUUUUUAAAUUUGUUUUAUAAAUUUAUUUAAAUAAAAUUGUUUUCAAGAAGAAGAAAUAGUUUAUUAAUUUUUUUUAAAAUGCUUUUAAAGAUGAAAACUAAACAAAUUAUUUUUAUAGAUUUAUAUUUUUGAAAAUUAAAAAAGAGGAUAUUUGUUUUAUACGUAUUUUAUUUUCUUAACAAUAACUUUGUUUUAAUAUCUUUUAUUUUAAUGUAGAUAUUAUUCUCCCUCUCUAGAUAAUACAACAGAUCCCACUUAAUUGUUAAGGAUAUGCUUUGAGCCAAAAUUGCAUUGCCAUAUAGUAUGCAAACAAAGGAGAACAACGAAUCCUGAAACUCUCGCAUUAUGAUGUUUCCUGUCUUCAAUACAUUACAAUUGGUUUGUCUUCUCUUCUCUUAAAAUGAAGAAAAUAACAAUACAUCUCUCUUAUUUUAGCAUAAAAAAAUUAAUAUUUCUUGCUUGUUAUUGCGAUCCCAUUCCAUAUAUUUCUCUUGCACAACUAUGACAGAGACCAGAAAGUAGUAUGCUUAUGCAUUGCGUUUUUUUUAGAGUGACACUAGUAACUGCUACUUGAAGGUGAGUGCUUGCUGAAUUUGGUUUGUUUUUUUUCUUAUCUGAACAAGCAUUUGGUUUUUGCUUUACAACACUAUUUCCUGACUGUCGACCGAUACAUGAAAUUCGAUGUGAGCUGUACGAAAUUAUCUAUAUUUUUCAGUAUGCGAAAUUGUUAAGCCUGCCUUCGAUGAUUUUAUUCUUCCAUCCAAAAGUAUGCUGACAUAAUCAUACCUCGUGGGGGAGAUAAUUGUGUAGCAAUUGACUUGAUCGUUCAACAUAUCCGCACUAAGCUUGGCCAACAUAACCUCUGUAAGAUAU